This 139-nucleotide small nuclear RNA is filed under the name Jaculus jaculus (lesser Egyptian jerboa). RNAcentral's name for it is "U4 spliceosomal RNA (ENSJJAG00000004087.1)". It matches the Rfam family "U4 spliceosomal RNA". From Rfam's summary of the family: U4 small nuclear RNA (U4 snRNA) is a component of the major U2-dependent spliceosome. The structure of U4 snRNA from yeast and human has been reported. U4 snRNA presents a k-turn RNA motif in the 5p-SL related to recognition of Snu13 protein. Lineage: Eukaryota; Metazoa; Chordata; Mammalia; Rodentia; Dipodidae. The record is from Rfam by way of RNAcentral.
AGCUUUGAGCAGUGGCAGUAUUGUAGCCAAUGAGGUUUAUCCAAGGUGCGAUUAUUGUUAAUUGAAAACGUUCCAAUAUCCUGCCAUGAUGACUUGAAAUAUAGGUAGCAUUGGCAAUUUUUGACAGUCUCUGCAGAGA